CCAGAAAAGGAGAUUUUUUAAUGUGCCGCACAUCUAUGUUCUCAAUUGAACUCCAUGGAAGCAUUCAAAUGUGAAAAGGCGCUCACAAAAACACCAAGAUUUCCAUGGCACAUCGUCAGCUUCUCAUCCUAGUAGUCGUCGCCGAGUGCGCAGCGCGAAAAUUAAAUUGUUUUGUCAUGGAAGAAAAAGAUGGAAAGAAGAAUCUUCUCUUC
Caenorhabditis elegans is the source of this 212-nucleotide non-coding RNA. NCBI's taxonomy places the organism in Eukaryota, Metazoa, Nematoda, Chromadorea, Rhabditida, Rhabditidae. The record is from Ensembl.